CCUACGGGAGGCAGCAGUGAGGAAUAUUGGUCAAUGGGCGCAAGCCUGAACGAGCAAUGCCGCGUGAACGAGGAAGGUCUUCGGAUCGUAAAGUUCUGUUGAAGGGGAAAAAGAGCGGAGAGAGGAAAUGGUCUCCGAUUGAUAUUACCCUUCGAGGAAGUCACGGCUAACUACGUGCCAGCAGCCGCGGUAAUACGUAGGUGGCGAGCGUUAUCCGGAAUGAUUGGGCGUAAAGGGUGCGUAGGCGGCCUGCUAAGUCUGGAGUGAAAGGUACCGGCUCAACCGGUACAGGCUCUGGAAACUGGCGGGCUAGAGAGCAGGAGAGGGCGGUGGAACUCCAUGUGUAGCGGUAAAAUGCGUAGAUAUAUGGAAGAACACCAGUGGCGAAGGCGGCCGCCUGGCCUGUUACUGACGCUGAGGCACGAAAGCGUGGGGAGCAAAUAGGAUUAGAUACCCGUGUAGUC
This 464-nucleotide ribosomal RNA is filed under the name uncultured bacterium. RNAcentral describes it as "partial 16S ribosomal RNA". It matches the Rfam family "Bacterial small subunit ribosomal RNA", at positions 338 to 795 of the family's 1533-position model. The record is from RNAcentral.